GAAGAGUUAGCAGAGGACUAUGAAGUAGUCACUGCAGGGUCUAUCACUGUUGUCAUGAAAGGAUAUCUUUUUUCCUGCAGGGUGUUUUUACAGCAGAGUAGUGACCACCAGUGAAACUUAGUAAAACUUGUGAGAAAUUCUGAGAUACGAGUUUUCAGUAAAUAGACUGAAAAAAUUCUCUGCUUUUUUUCCAGAACAACUAUUAUUUAUGUAAAUGUUUAGCUGGUGCAUCACGUGUUUCAGUCCCCAUGUUUUUCUGUACUGGGGGAGACCACUGGAUGCUGUUUACAUUCACAGGGUUCUGAUCCUGCAGUGUAAUCUGCUGGAGGAGGAGGAGGGUGAGGGCUUAUCAUCUGGUGGGAUAGGAAGACUGAGAUAAGAUGACUAGGCACAGGAGGUCCUGGUGGGAGAGUUUGGGGGUGUAGGGGAAGGAGAAUGGGAUCUGGCAAGGAAUGGAAAGAGAAGGAACAGGGUGAAUGAUUGCUGAACAACCUAUUCUUUUUCAGGAGAGAAAGAGGAAGCAGAGCUGAGUCAGGUGGCCUGUGUGUUUUCAGGAGGCUGUGGAGCAGCAGUGGUAGGAGAAGCAGUGGAAGAGCUUUGGAAUGAUAAGAAAGUGAGCUGGAUUCUGGUUUGCACAUCAUCACUAGAUUGCAGAAUCUUUAUGCAGGGCAGUGGAAGCUGAGAGCUCAUCAGAAGAUAGUGGUUGGUGCCAAGAAUAUACUGUGUUAGAGAUCAUUAUCAGAAUACCACAAAUCCAGAUGGCUCAAAGGGCCUAGUGUAUACCAUAGCUUCAUGACAGCAUAAAAUCUGCCAACAUUACCAAACAACAAAACCCCAGCCAACAACAGAAACUCACCUAGCCCAACCAUCCUUUUCAGUUUUUGUCGUCAACCUUAGUAGUUACACAUAACAUUGUAUCAAUUUUCUCUAGGAUAAGAUCAGUCCCAAAAGACUAUACAUUCAAGGAUCAAAGAACAAGGCAUAGUGGGAGACCCAAAGAAGAUCUAUAAGCACUCUUUACAGGACCCCACUUUAAAUUAAGGCGUUCAAAUGACAAAGCAGCCAGUCCUGCAACCCCUCUACACAUGUAACUCCUAGUGAAUUCAUUGAGAGUUCUGAGCAGGAGUUUUGCCAUGUGAGAAGACUGCAGGAUCAAGUUUUGUAUUCUAUCAUACACACUUUUUACAGUGCCCAGGAGCAUGUGAGGCACUCAAGUGUAAAAUAAUUGAUUUUUUCCCCAACUCGUAACAAGAAAUUCCAGGAUGUGCAUUACUGGAAAUGCAACUUUGAACUCCCACUUUUGGUAUCAACCAGAAACACUUUGGCUGCAUUUUGGAGGAAAGUCUCCCAGAUACUGCUUGAUGAUACUAUAAAAUAUGGUUGAUGGAAAGCCAAACAGCCAAAGAACAACCUUCACAUUUCUGAACAACAUAGCUUCCAGUUUUGGAUAAUAAGGCAAAAGGAUAUUUCUGAAAUUGCCUCCAAGCCAGACAAGUAUAAAUAUUUUCUGUAAUAUGACCUUCAGUGCACUGAUGUAGGACUAAUGGGAGCAUGUGAGGAGAGAAGUGCCUUCUGGUUUGGUCAUUCUUAUUACAUACUUUGAGAAAGAAACGUUGACCCUUACUCUUAAUCACUGAUAAUUCUUAAAUUAAUGCAUU
Mauremys reevesii (Reeves's turtle) is the source of this 1658-nucleotide long non-coding RNA. RefSeq lists it as uncharacterized. The record is from RefSeq and is a predicted model, not a curated record. The transcript has 7 exons. Lineage: Eukaryota; Metazoa; Chordata; Testudines; Geoemydidae.